RNAcentral lists this unclassified non-coding RNA (254 nucleotides) under uncultured Patescibacteria group bacterium. RNAcentral describes it as "contains 16S-23S intergenic spacer region". It matches the Rfam family "Bacterial small subunit ribosomal RNA", at positions 524 to 776 of the family's 1533-position model. The record is from RNAcentral.
UACGUAGGGUCCAAGCGUUAUCCGGAAUUACUGGGCGUAAAGCGUGUGUAGGUGGAUAUCUAAGUGAGGUGCGAAAUCCCACGGCUCAACCGUGUGGACUGUAUCUCAUACUGGAUGUCUUGAGGAUGGCAGAGGCAAGCGGAAUUAGCGGUGUAGGGGUGAAAUCCGUAGAUAUCGCUAGGAACACCAAUGGCGAAGGCAGCUUGCUGGGCCACUCCUGACACUGAGACACGAAAGCGUGGGGAGCGAACAGG